RNAcentral lists this long non-coding RNA (279 nucleotides) under Nicotiana benthamiana. RNAcentral's name for it is "long non-coding RNA (NBEN_LNC008152)". Lineage: Eukaryota; Viridiplantae; Streptophyta; Magnoliopsida; Solanales; Solanaceae. The record is from RNAcentral.
CGUGUUGGUGGUGAGGAUGAUGAUGAAAUCCUUAUAAAUCAAGAUUGGACGAAUGUUAAAAUUCUUAAAUUUUUUAGAACAUUUUUAAAUUGUUACUAAUGCAUUUUUUGGGCAAUAUUAUCCUACUAUUUCAAACUGUUUAGUUUAUAUUACAGCACUAUCUGAUUUGUUUGUUGAAUUUUCGGAGGGUGAGGAAAUUUAUCAACUUGCUAUAAAUACAAUAAAAGAAAAGUUUAAAAAGUAUUUUUUCCUAUUCCCUUAUUUAUGGUGUUGCUGCAA